UAUCAAGGACAUAUCAGUCAAAACUGAUUCUCUAAGAAUGAAAUAUAUUCAGAUUGAAGGACUAGAAUCGUAUAAAAUCAAGAAAGAAAUGGCUACUUUGUUAAUCUUGAACAAGAAAAGUUCGUGAAAAUUGAUGUGACCCAGAAAGAAGAAGAAAGCAAAAAACAGAUAUUCAAGAAUACAUACAAAGAAAGGAGAGAAACUGAGAACACAAAUCAAAGAAAGGAAUCUUUUCAACAAUCGGAAUUACAAGCAUGCCUAGCCUUACAGAAUCUCACUUAUUAUAGCUAAUCACUCAGCCACGUGCAGAAGUAACAGAUUUCCUAACUAAUCAUCUACCAGGUCCGCCUAUACUGCAACAGAAAGCAUAACAACUUCAGAAUGUUUAUAUUCCUUUCCCCUACAUUUUUUGUUGCCAAAUGUAUCAUAUCAAUGCAUUCCCCUCAAGAAGUUCCUUGUCCUCAAGGAACUCAGAAGAAUUCAGACAUGGUUCGCACAUAUAUUCCCAUGCUCAGCUUCUUUGUGGACAGGAACCAUAUUUUCUUCCUCUGUCUUUGCCCAAUUUCAUCUCAUUCUCCUUGGGAUUCCAGCACCCUCUUUUACACGCAUCAGUUAAAUCUCAUAAAGAACAAACAUUUUCAACAUUUGAUCCACUCACUUCAAAUACUUCAAGCUUCAAAGAUCGAACAUCUGUUGCAAUGGUAAGAAUCUUACAGCUUAUAGUCUCCCCUGCUGCAAUCAGUGGAAGACUUAGUUCAAUGACAGACUCAAACAACAGCAUACCAUUAUUGCCCUGCCAAUCUGCUGCAUCCUCACUUAUCAACAAAUGCCAAGAACCCAUGUUCCUCUUCUGCAUUCUAUCAAACACCCAGCAUGCAUCUCUCAUACUCCCACCUUUUCCAUACAUUGCCAUCAAUUUGUUGCAUAUGCAUGCAAAUGCAAAUGCAAAUGCAAGUUGUAUUACAUUUUCCAGCAAUUAAAUAAGAGUUACAAACCAUAAUAAAAGGAAAGCAAGAAGAUGAACAUUUUCUGAUUUUCACUGGUAUUGAUCGCAAAAGACCAACUUGCCUCCUUUCAUGCACAAUCCUUGUUCGCCAACUGAAUUAAGUACUUUCCCAUAACUAUACCUCAAUGGCAUCCUUCCUAACAACUUAUGAAAUUCCCUUAUGCAUUCCCCUCUCCUCCUCCUAUGCUCCGCUCGCCUACUACUCAACCCCACUGCUCUUACACUCUUCCCUUCCUCAUCCUUCAAUCUCAACUUUCCAUCAUCAUUGUCAUCAUUACGAGCAUCUCCCCAAUCCCUAACCCUCUCUGCCCCCACCAAUAUAGGCCCUUUGUUAGCAUGGUCAGCUACCACAAAAUUCAUCAGUAUAUCUUCACAGUUUUGCAUUUGAUCAACGAUCUUCCUCAUUUCACUCAUGCUGGAUCCACCCUUGCAACUAUACUCAAACAGAUACUGGCUUUUCAAAAUCAUGAACUUGGUAAGCACAAUUGAGUAUUUAUCAGGAUGCACCGUGUAAAUCCACUUCCUUGCUGACAAAUCAAGAUCAUGAGAUCUAACAAAGAACCCAAUCAGAUUAUCAGGAUUUGAUCUCCAAAUCCGAAAAGCGAAAUCAAAAGAUUUAGGGUCAACCUCCACAUCAUCAUCGCAAAUCAAGACAGCUUGUGUCCCAAUGGAUGAUCUUGGCAGGAAUCGAUCAUUGAGGCUGCUUGAAGGUUGGCGGACAAGGGAGAUGGUUGCAGGGCCAAAUGAGGAGAGAGAGAGAUUAUGGGCCAAGUGGGCCAGUGUUUGGGAAGAAGUGGAAGAGUUUCCCCAGAGGACGAGCACAGAGGAUACUAGUGCAGAGGCAGAGUAUGUGGUAGCAAUUGUCUGAAGGAGAGGAAUGUGAGACUCAGAAUAACCAUUAAUAAGGACAGUGAUUUGAUCUGGUCGGAGGUUUCGUGGGUCAGGCUCAUUUGCUGGGUCACAUGGAUCAGAAGGUAGAGUCCGAAGGGAGAAUACACCAAGAGGCAAUGUUAAUAAUAAGCAUACAUACAAUAAAACUUUCACCAUCGAUGUGAUUAUGUGAAAUUUUAAUACUCUUCAUCUCCCCACAUGUGUUCAUUUGUUAGCUGUAUUCUUUUACAAUUGUAUUCUUCUCCAAUGCUCCCAAUUCCAAUAAGCUUGAUUAUUUCGAUUCAACAAGAUUUUGUCUGAUUCCAAUGGUAUGACUCGGAUCUGAAAAUUUAUUGGUAUCAAUAGCAGCAAAUAUUGGUUCAAUAAAAUGGACUUCAAGCCUGAAUGUGCUGAUUGAAAACACUGGUAAGCAUAUAUAUGAAUAUUAUGAUGCUAGUGCUGAAGAAAUGGAUUCUUUUUAAUUCUCGUGUUUCUUGCACAAGCAAAGAAAUACCAUUUCUAAUGGGCAAAAAGAUGAAUAUAUUUUCUAUUCACAGACACCAAGCUACCGAGACUCGUAUUCAAAAGACUUCAAACCUCCCUGCCUUCUCACUCCAUUCUUUUCUGUGGCUCCCAAAUUCAACACGUUGCUUUGAUCACCAUCUCAUUGAUCAGUGCAUUUCUGACAAGCUAGUCCAACUCUUACUUUAAAAUCUUCAAGAAUGCAGAUGCUUGAAGAAAAUAGUCUUCCUUCCUUGGUUCAUUUACUUUCUCACUCCCCUCCUUCUUUUCUCCAGUGGCUAAAAUGACUACUGUAAGAGUACUAUUGCCUCUUGCUGCUGCCAAUCAAUGGUUUCUUAAUCCCAUUGCAACUAAUAGAGAGAAACAGUUUAGUCAGAGAGCUUGCAAAUCGAAUAUUCUACCGAAAUAGAAUCUCCUUUCAGCGGCUUACGAAACCCAAUAAAAAUAAGUGAAUCCAGUGAAGAUUUAGCUCAAAUCUACGAUGGUAAUCUCUGGUUUGAAGACGUUCAACUCGACCUCAUUCAGCAAAGCUAAAUCCUCCAGAAUGUCAUUCAGCUUGAAUCUUUUGUGGGUCU
This 2973-nucleotide unclassified non-coding RNA is filed under the name Hevea brasiliensis (rubber tree). Lineage: Eukaryota; Viridiplantae; Streptophyta; Magnoliopsida; Malpighiales; Euphorbiaceae. The record is from RNAcentral.